GAAAAGCUGUAGACACUCAACACCAGGCCAUGAAAGCAGCCGGGAAGGAGGUUGUACCCUGCAAUGCCACAAGGGUGGAGCUACCCAAGACCAUGGGAACCCACCUUUUGCAUCAGGUUGACCUGGAAUUGUGACCGGAAUUCAAAGGAGAUCAUUUUGGAACUUUAAAAUUUGAUUGCCCCACUGGAUUUCGGACUUGCAUGGGGCCUGUAACCCUUUUGUUUUGGCCAAUUUCUCCCAUUUGGAAUGGCUAUAUUUACCCAAUACCUCUACCUCCACUGUAUCUAUAAAGUAACCAGCUUGCUUUUGCUUUUACAGGCUCGUAAGUGGAAGAAAUUUGCCUUGUCGCAAAUGAGAUUUUGGACUGUGGACUUUUGGGUUAAUGCUGAAGUUCAAGGUCUUCUCCUGCCUUAAUCUCCCAAGUUGCUGGAACUACAGGCUUGCACCACAAUGCCCUGCUGAUUUUGUAUUUUUAGUAUAGACGGGAUUUCACCAUGUUGGCCAGUCUGGUCUUGAAUUUCUUACCUCAGGUGAUUCGCCCACCUCGGCUUCCCAAAGUGCUGGGAUUACAGGCAUGAGCCAACAACGCCUGGCCGACGUCUUACAUUUUUAGUAUUUGCACUUUAUUGUGUGCCAAUGAUAUCUUAAUAAAGUUGUUUAAAAGUUUUAUACAAAUUCACUUGAGUCUGCCUUUUGAUAUUAGUUAUAAAAUAAUUUGGAAUUUGCACUUAUUGACCAAAAUUGAUACGACCCUUUGAAAUAUUUUCUUUUCAUAUUAAACUUUAUUCCAAUACAAAACUAACCAACUUAGUUCACUGUUGUGGUUUUGGUGUUGUUUUGUGUUUCCUCAUUGUGUUUGCUUCAUUUUCCUUAUGCAAGCAUAUAGAUCCUGUGUUGUUAAAUUUUGCAAUAUACAGUAAUACAUUGUAUUCAACCAGAUUUCAAAACUUUCAUAUAUGAUAACAUAUUUAUGUUAUAUUGAAUCGCUCUGCAUUUAGAGGCAACAAUCUGAAUAGAAAACCAACAUUGUUUUAACAAUGGCAGAGUUAAAAAAAAUCCAGUGUAUAAGCAUUUUCCUUGUGUUAAUAGUGUCCAGCACUUUGGUAAUAAGUUAGGAAGGAGAUAUUGUUUGUUCAAAGUAACUUUGCAUUUUCCAAUUAUUCACAUAAUCGACACUUUUCAAAAACACUUUUCCUCUCUA
Molecule: long non-coding RNA, 1201 nt
Filed under: Papio anubis (olive baboon)
Lineage: Eukaryota; Metazoa; Chordata; Mammalia; Primates; Cercopithecidae
Description: lncRNA (ENSPANG00000050724.1)
Source: RNAcentral